RNAcentral lists this ribosomal RNA (492 nucleotides) under uncultured bacterium. RNAcentral's name for it is "partial 16S ribosomal RNA". It matches the Rfam family "Bacterial small subunit ribosomal RNA", at positions 29 to 507 of the family's 1533-position model. The record is from RNAcentral.
AGUGAACGCUGGCGGUAGGCCUAACACAUGCAAGUCGAACGGCAGCACAGUAAGAGCUUGCUCUUACGGGUGGCGAGUGGCGGACGGGUGAGGAAUACAUCGGAAUCUACUUUUUCGUGGGGGAUAACGUAGGGAAACUUACGCUAAUACCGCAUACGACCUACGGGUGAAAGCAGGGGAUCUUCGGACCUUGCGCGAUUGAAUGAGCCGAUGUCGGAUUAGCUAGUUGGCGGGGUAAAGGCCCACCAAGGCGACGAUCCGUAGCUGGUCUGAGAGGAUGAUCAGCCACACUGGAACUGAGACACGGUCCCGACUCCUACGGGAGGCAGCAGUGGGUAAUAUUGGACAAUGGGCGCAAGCCUGAUCCAGCCAUACCGCGUGGGUGAAGAAGGCCUUCGGGUUGUAAAGCCCUUUUGUUGGGAAAGAAAAGCAGCAGGUUAAUACCCCGCUGUUCUGACGGUACCCAAAGAAUAAGCACCGGCUAACUUCGUG